GGGAUCGAAGAUGAUUAGAUACCAUCGUAGUCUUCACCAUAAACUAUGCCGACUCGGGAUUGGCAGUCGUUUCUUUUUACGACUCUGCCAGCACCGUAUGAGAAAUCAAAGUCUUUGGGUUCCGGGGGGAGUAUGGUCGCAAGACUGAAACUUAAAGGAAUUGACGGAAGGGCACACCAGGAUGGGAGCCUGCGGCUUAAUUUGACUCAACACGGGGAAACUUACCAGGUCCAGACAAAGUAAGGAUUGACAGAUUGAGAGCUCUUUCUUGAUUCUUUGGGUGGUGGUGCAUGGCCGUUCUUAGUUGGUGGAGCGAUUUGUCUGGUUAAUUCCGUUAACGAACGAGACCACAGCCUACUAAAUAGUACUGUUUAUGGUAACAUAGGUAGAGACUUCUUAGAGGGACAUUUCGGGUAUACCGGAAGGAAGUUUGUG
Molecule: ribosomal RNA, 435 nt
Filed under: Thraustochytriidae sp.
Lineage: Eukaryota; Bigyra; Thraustochytrida; Thraustochytriidae
Description: SSU rRNA
Rfam family: Eukaryotic small subunit ribosomal RNA
Source: RNAcentral